GUGCUUGCUUCGGCAGCACAUAUACUAAGACUGGAACAAUACAGAGAGGAUUAGCAUGGCCCUUGUGCAAGGAUGACACGCAAAUUCGUGAACCAUUCCAUAUUUAA
Molecule: small nuclear RNA, 107 nt
Filed under: Chinchilla lanigera (long-tailed chinchilla)
Lineage: Eukaryota; Metazoa; Chordata; Mammalia; Rodentia; Chinchillidae
Source: RNAcentral